Molecule: ribosomal RNA, 481 nt
Filed under: uncultured bacterium
Lineage: Bacteria
Description: partial 16S ribosomal RNA
Rfam family: Bacterial small subunit ribosomal RNA
Source: RNAcentral
GAUGAACGCUGGCGGCGUGCUUAACACAUGCAAGUCGAACGAAACACCUUAUUUGAUUUUCUUCGGAACUGAAGAUUUGGUGAUUGAGUGGCGGACGGGUGAGUAACGCGUGGGUAACCUGCCCUGUACAGGGGGAUAACAGUCAGAAAUGACUGCUAAUACCGCAUAAGACCACAGCACCGCAUGGUGCAGGGGUAAAAACUCCGGUGGUACAGGAUGGACCCGCGUCUGAUUAGCUGGUUGGUGAGGUAACGGCUCACCAAGGCGACGAUCAGUAGCCGGCUUGAGAGAGUGAACGGCCACAUUGGGACUGAGACACGGCCCAAACUCCUACGGGAGGCAGCAGUGGGGAAUAUUGCACAAUGGGGGAAACCCUGAUGCAGCGACGCCGCGUGAGUGAAGAAGUAUUUCGGUAUGUAAAGCUCCAUCAGCAGGGAAGAAAAUGACGGUACCUGACUAAGAAGCCCCGGCUAACUACGUG